Molecule: ribosomal RNA, 689 nt
Filed under: uncultured archaeon
Lineage: Archaea
Description: bacterial SSU rRNA
Rfam family: Archaeal small subunit ribosomal RNA
Source: RNAcentral
GGAUAACCUACCCUUAGGACCGGGAUAACCCUGGGAAACUGGGGAUAAUACUGGAUAGGCAAUUUUUCCUGCAAUGGUUUUUUGUUUAAAUGUUUUUUCGCCUAAGGAUGGGUCUGCGGCCGAUUAGGUAGUUGGUUAGGUAAUGGCUUACCAAGCCGUUGAUCGGUACGGGUUGUGAGAGCAAGAGCCCGGAGAUGGAACCUGAGACAAGGUUCCAGGCCCUACGGGGUGCAGCAGGCGCGAAACCUCCGCAAUGUGAGAAAUCGCGACGGGGGGAUCCCAAGUGCCAUUCUUAACGGGAUGGCUUUUCAUUAGUGUAAAGAGCUUUUGGAAUAAGAGCUGGGCAAGACCGGUGCCAGCCGCCGCGGUAACACCGGCAGCUCUAGUGGUAACAAUUUUUAUUGGGCCUAAAGCGUCCGUAGCCGGUUUAAUAAGUCUCUGGUGAAAUCCUGUAGCUUAACUGUGGGAAUUGCUGGAGAUACUAUUAGACUUGAGACCGGGAGAGGUUAGAGGUACUCCCAGGGUAGAGGUGAAAUUCUGUAAUCCUGGGAGGACCGCCUGUUGCGAAGGCGUCUAACUGGAACGGUUCUGACGGUGAGGGACGAAAGUUAGGGGCGCGAACCGGAUUAGAUACCCGGGUAGUCCUAACUGUAAACGAUGCGGACUUGGUGUUGGGGUGGCUUUGAGCU